This is a long non-coding RNA of Mercurialis annua (annual mercury), 639 nucleotides long. RefSeq lists it as uncharacterized. NCBI's taxonomy places the organism in Eukaryota, Viridiplantae, Streptophyta, Magnoliopsida, Malpighiales, Euphorbiaceae. The transcript has 2 exons. The record is from RefSeq and is a predicted model, not a curated record.
UAGAUAUGGAAAAGUAUGGAGAUCGGUGUUUGGUUCGGUUUGAAGCUGUCCCAAACCGAAAAAACCGAAAACCCGAUAACACCGAAUAUAUUAAAACUGCAUCAUUUCUAGGUAAAUUAGCCACGCUUAUACAGGUUUGGGUCUGUCUAUUUUUGUCAAAAAAUUGGCUUCAAAACUACGUCGUUUAAUUGUCAUAUAUAAUCCUCUUUAUAAUUUUGAAACCCUAACUCACUUUUCUUUCAUCUCUCUCAUUCACAGCCGCUCUCUUCCUCUUUUCAUAUUCUUCUUCUUUUUCAUCAUACAAACCCUAUAUUUUUAAUCGAUUUCUUUAAUUUCUUUACACUACCUUUUAGUAUAACACUCUUUUAACGUUGUAAUUCAAGAAAGGUACCAUUUUUGCUUCUUGAAUCUAUCUACAAAUCUUAACAAAAUCAAGUUGCUGGAGAUAGCCUUGCUUUAUUGUUGCUUCUUCUGGAUCACUUAUUGAUUUUUACUCAUUUGUUUAUGUUAUUUUUAAUAAUUUUUGGGUAUUAUUAAUUGUAAUUUCAAUAUGUAUGGAUGUUUUAUAAUAUGUAAAGUUCUUCAUCAAAUAAUAAUAUGAAUUUUUUGUUUGUUUUUAAUAAAAUUGGAGUUUCUUUA